GACGAACGCUGGCGGCGUGCUUAACACAUGCAAGUCGAGCGGAAAGGCCCUUUCGGGGGUACUCGAGCGGCGAACGGGUGAGUAACACGUGAGUAAUCUGCCCCUGGCUUUGGGAUAGCCACCGGACACGGUGAUUAAUACCGGAUACGACGACUUCUCGCAUGGGAUGGGGGUGGAAAGUUUUUCGGCCAGGGAUGUGCUCGCGGCCUAUCAGCUUGAUGGUGAGGUAAUGGCUCACCAUGGCUUCGACGGGUAGCCGGCCUGAGAGGGUGACCGGUCACACUGGGACUGAGACACGGCCCAGACUCCUACGGGAGGCAGCAGUGGGGAAUAUUGGACAAUGGGCGGAAGCCUGAUCCAGCAACGCCGCGUGAGGGAUGACGGCCUUCGGGUUGUAAACCUCUUUCAGCAGGGACGAAGCGCAAGUGACGGUACCUGCAGAAGAAGCACCGGCCAACUACGUGCCAGCCGCCGCAGUAA
RNAcentral lists this ribosomal RNA (480 nucleotides) under uncultured bacterium. RNAcentral describes it as "partial 16S ribosomal RNA". It matches the Rfam family "Bacterial small subunit ribosomal RNA", at positions 28 to 523 of the family's 1533-position model. The record is from RNAcentral.